RNAcentral lists this ribosomal RNA (795 nucleotides) under Triticum aestivum (bread wheat). Its description in RNAcentral is "partial small subunit ribosomal RNA". The record is from RNAcentral. Lineage: Eukaryota; Viridiplantae; Streptophyta; Magnoliopsida; Poales; Poaceae.
AUGUCUACUUGCCUCACUGAUGUUAUUAAUGCCAAUGGUGUUGAUUUUAUUGGUCUUCAAGAGACUAUGAAAAAAUCCUAUAAUUCUUCCUUUUUUAGGAAGCUGGACCCUGGGCAAAAAAUUCAUUGGGAAUGGAUACCAUCUAGGGGAACUGGAGGUAUUUUAUGUGGUAUCAACAAAGAUAAGUUUGAUCUUACUACUGUUAAACAUGGUAAAUAUAUCCUUCAAAUGGUACUCUUUGAUAAGAGUAAGAAAUGUAGCUGGGCUCUGAUGGUAGUAUAUUGAGCAACUCAUGAUGAAAGUAAACCUGAAUUUAUAGCUGAGCUAUCACAUAUGUGCAAUAGUACUCACAUCCCCUAUUUGGUGGGAGGGGAUUUCAAUAUUCUUCGACACACUGGUGAGAAGAAUAAAAAAACCCCAAUGUCUCACUCUGAUGUGUUCAAUUCUGUCAUCCACUUGCUGGGGCUUAGGGAGAUUUGCAUGUCGGGAGCGUUAUAUACUUGGUCCAACAAACAGGAAAGCCCUACCUUGGAAAAGUUGGAUAGGGUGUUAAUGUCCUCUGACUGGGAGGAUUUGUAUCCCCUUGUUUCGGUUAGUAAGCUGGUUAAGGAAUUAUCUGACCAUAAUCACUUGCUGUUGGAUGGGGGUUUGGCCUCUUCUAGAGCACCAGGUAAUAGGUGCUUUAGGUUUGAUAACAACUGGCUUAAUAACCCAUACUUUUUACCUCUGGUUGCUGACAUUUGGUCGAAACGUGUGUAUACUGAUGAUCCCAUUACACCUAAAAUAUUAAACUGA